GACGAACGCUGGCGGCGUGCUUAACACAUGCAAGUCGAACGGAAAGGCCCUGCUUUUGUGGGGUGCUCGAGUGGCGAACGGGUGAGUAACACGUGAGUAACCCGCCCUUGACUUUGGGAUAACUUCAGGAAACUGGGGCUAAUACCGGAUAGGAGCUCCUGCUGCAUGGUGGGGGUUGGAAAGUUUCGGCGGUUGGGGAUGGACUCGCGGCUUAUCAGCUUGUUGGUGGGGUAGUGGCUUACCAAGGCUUUGACGGGUAGCCGGCAUGGGAGGGUGACCGGCCACAUUGGGACUGAGAUACGGCCCAGACUCCUACGGGAGGCAGCAGUGGGGAAUAUUGCACAAUGGGCGGAAGCCUGAUGCAGAAACGCCGCGUGCGGGAUGACGGCCUUCGGGUUGUAAACCGCUUUCGCCUGUGACGAAGCGUGAGUGACGGUAAUGGGUAAAGAAGCACCGGCUAACUACGUG
This 468-nucleotide ribosomal RNA is filed under the name uncultured bacterium. Its description in RNAcentral is "partial 16S ribosomal RNA". It matches the Rfam family "Bacterial small subunit ribosomal RNA", at positions 28 to 507 of the family's 1533-position model. The record is from RNAcentral.